Molecule: long non-coding RNA, 1017 nt
Filed under: Serinus canaria (Common canary)
Lineage: Eukaryota; Metazoa; Chordata; Aves; Passeriformes; Fringillidae
Description: lncRNA (ENSSCAG00000007230.1)
Source: RNAcentral
AUGGGUCUCAGAAUGAAAUUUUCCCAGGAGCCUGCACCUAGAUCACCCUCUUGCACCUCGAGGGACAAGAGCUGGCACGUCCCAGGGCCAGCCCGAGGAGCCGGGUGGGGGCUGCUGGGUGUCCCUGGGAUGGGGCUGAGCGUGUCAGUGAUCGGGGCUGCUGUGAGCCCUCAAGGACCCGGCGGGAACUGCGGAUUUCCACCAGGGGAGCAGCGGGGCCGGGGCUGGCCCGGUGGGGAACCCCCCGGAGCUUCCAUCAGUGGCUGCCAGAGCCAAUCUAGGGCAGGAUGGAAAUGCACAACUGAUUGGAUCGACUUCAACAAACACCUUUCCCCCCUUCUUUCCACUUCUCUUCCUCCCCAGCUCCAGCAGCUCCUCUCUCGGCGCUGCUCAUCUCCCUUUGUGCACCUCUUACCCGCACUCUCCUCUCUAAACAGGUGCAGUUGCCACUCAAUAGACUUUAAUUACCACUUCAAGGGCUCUCACCGGGGUCUGCGGGAGGGUGGAGAUGAAUUUUCCCGAGGAUUAUGCGUGUGGCUGAGUUCUCUUCAGUCAGAUGGUGAUACUGCUGCCAGCCAGGAUCCUUCGAGAGAUCGGUUCUUCGGUUCUCUGUUCGUGUUAACAAAAAGGAAAACUGCUGCUGAAGGGAAAAAAACAACCCAGCCAUUACCUGGAUUAAUUAGCAGGACAGCAAAUGGGUCUGGAGAAAAGCAUUACAGAAAAUUUACAGCCCAGGAGUCUCAGCUGGGCUUCCAAACUGUUAUUCCUUGCAAAUCAGAAGUGGAGAGCUCAGCAUCUCGGAAGAUUUCUGUGGGAGACUGGGCUCUAAAAAUACAAGUUGUUUUUAACCACUUUACCUUUUUUUUGCUCCGUGCUCUUCCCAUCACGGCUCACUGGAGAGAUGUGCUGUUAAUGCAUCCUGCUGGGACCCUGGGGAUUCCUCCCAGGGAAUGGUGGGUUCAUUCUGGCUUCAGCAGUCUGCCUGUGAUGGAGGAAUUAUUCCCAGUGUUUAACUAG